UGGGGGAUAUUGCACAAUGGGGGAAACCCUGAUGCAGCAACGCCGCGUGAAGGAAGAAGGUCUUCGGAUUGUAAACUUCUGUCCUCAGGGAAGAUAAUGACGGUACCUGAGGAGGAAGCUCCGGCUAACUACGUGCC
This 137-nucleotide ribosomal RNA is filed under the name uncultured bacterium. RNAcentral's name for it is "partial 16S ribosomal RNA". It matches the Rfam family "Bacterial small subunit ribosomal RNA", at positions 355 to 509 of the family's 1533-position model. The record is from RNAcentral.